This 83-nucleotide transfer RNA is filed under the name Ignavibacteria bacterium. Its description in RNAcentral is "tRNA-Ser". It matches the Rfam family "tRNA". From Rfam's summary of the family: Transfer RNA (tRNA) molecules are approximately 80 nucleotides in length. Their secondary structure includes four short double-helical elements and three loops (D, anti-codon, and T loops). Lineage: Bacteria; Pseudomonadati; Ignavibacteriota; Ignavibacteria. The record is from RNAcentral.
GGAGGAUUCGCAUAAUUGGCAUUGCAGCGGUCUUGAAACCCGCCGGGUUCGCGCCUGUGGGGGUUCGAGUCCCUCAUCCUCCG